GAUGAACGCUGGCGGCGUGUCUUAGGCAUGCAAGUCGAACGGUUAGAUUUAUCUAACAGUGGCAGACGGGUGAGCAAGACAGUGAUAACCUACUCCGGAGUCUUGAAUAACUUUUCGAAAGGAAAGCUAAUCCAAGAUGGACAAGGGGGGACAUAAGUCAUUCCCUUGUAAAGUUCCGACGCUCCGGAAGGGAUCUUUGCCCUAUCAGCUUGUUGGUGUGGUAACGGCAUACCAAGGCAAUGACGGGUAGCGGGUGUGAGAGCAUGACCCGCCACAUUGGAACUGAAACACUGUCCAAACUCCUACGGGAGGCUGCAGUCGAGAAUUUUCCGCAAUGCAGGAAACUGUGACGGAGCGACGCCGCGUGCAGGAAGAAGCCCUUCGGGGUGUAAACUGCUUUUAUUAGGGAAAAAUUCGUGAUGGUACCUAAUGAAUAAGAGGUUGCUAACUACG
RNAcentral lists this ribosomal RNA (453 nucleotides) under uncultured bacterium. Its description in RNAcentral is "bacterial SSU rRNA". It matches the Rfam family "Bacterial small subunit ribosomal RNA", at positions 28 to 505 of the family's 1533-position model. The record is from RNAcentral.